This is a non-coding RNA of Bos taurus (domestic cattle), 67 nucleotides long. The record is from Rfam. Lineage: Eukaryota; Metazoa; Chordata; Mammalia; Artiodactyla; Bovidae.
CCUGAUAGCUCAGUUGGUAAAGAAUCUGCUUGCAAUGCAGAACCCUGGUUCAAUUCCUGGGUCAGGA